This 65-nucleotide transfer RNA is filed under the name Mactra quadrangularis. RNAcentral's name for it is "tRNA-Asn". The record is from RNAcentral. Lineage: Eukaryota; Metazoa; Mollusca; Bivalvia; Venerida; Mactridae.
UAAAUCUUAGUUUAUUAGAAUAAUCGAUUGUUACUCGAUAGGUGGGCCUGAAUGCCCAGGUUUAG